AUGCGGAUGGACAGUGUGUGUUUUUCCUCUAGGUGUGUGGGCCGACUUCUCUCCUAUGUUAUCGCAGAAUCCUAUAUUCUGUCAUUCUGCAUCCUGCGGCGUCCCUCACAGAUAAAUGAUCGAGCUCAGCCGGAGGAUGUGUUUAGAUCUAGCAAUCCCUACUCCAUGAAGCUGGAGUUUGUGGACGAUCCAAACUUCCCGAAUAAAAAGGUCAAUUACUCCUACAGCGCCGUCCAAAUCCCUACGGACAUCUAUAAAGGCUCACCGGUCAUCCUGAAUGAGCUAAACUGGACCCAGUCUUUGGAGAAAGUAUUCAUUGAUAAUCGCCGGGAGGACAGCUCUCUGCGGUGGCAGGUGUUCGGCAGCGCCACAGGGGUCACGAGAUAUUACCCAGCCGCUCCGUGGAGCAGUACACAGAAUAAGAUUGACCUGUAUGAUGUCCGCAGACGGCCGUGGUACAUCCAGGGAGCGUCAUCUCCCAAGGACAUGGUCAUCAUUGUGGAUGUGAGCGGCAGUGUCAGCGGACUCACUCUGAAGCUGAUGAAGAACUCGGUGGUGAAGAUGCUGGAUACGCUGUCUGACGACGACUACGUGAAUGUGGCCAGGUUUAGCGAGAAGGCCGAGGCGGUGGUCCCCUGCUUUAAGACCUUGGUCCAGGCCAACAAGAGAAACAAGAACAUCUUCAAGGAGUCCAUCAUGAACAUGCACGCCAAAGGAACAACCGACUACAAGUCUGGCUUCCAGUUCGCCUUCGAACAGCUGCUCAAUGUAACCCCCAGGGCGGGCUGCAAUAAGAUGAUAAUGAUGUUUACCGAUGGGGGGGAGGAUCGUGCUCAGGACAUCUUUGAGAAGUACAACUGGCCCAACAAAACUAUUCGAGUAUUUACCUUUUCGGUAGGGCAGCAUAACUAUGAUGUCACACCUCUGCAGUGGAUUGCCUGCGCCAAUAAAGGCUUCUACUACGAGAUUCCAUCCAUUGGAGCAAUUCGGAUAAACACACAGGAGUACCUGGAUGUUCUGGGUCGGCCUAUGGUUCUGGCGGGGCCAAGGGCCAAACAGGUCCAGUGGACCAAUGUGUACCAAGAUGCUCUUACUCUAGGUCUGGUCAUUACUGGGACCAUGCCAGUCUUCAACCUAACGGCUGAUGCUAACUCACAGCUCGUCCUCGGCGUCAUGGGAGUGGAUGUGGCGAUCAGCGAAAUUAAGAAAAAGACGCCAACAUACAGGCUUGGAGCUAACGGUUAUACCUUUGCAAUAGACCAAAAUGGCUAUUUACUUCUUCACCCCAACCUGCAGCCGAAGAUCAUUAACUUCAUAGAGCCUGUCACUUUGGACUUCCUGGAUGCUGAGCUGAUGGACAGCAAAAAAGAAGAGGUAACUAGGGCACUCAGCAGAACACCCACACCUCAACAAUGCAGGCUGGUGUUGCCCACGUACAGUGAGAACCACAUCAAGGCCAACCUGAGUGACCAGAUCCUGCAGGUGCAGUAUAAUCUUCCCCUUUCUGUUGCAGAUUUUGAAUCACUGCUGCCAAACAGUUUUGAGUCUGAAGGACAUGUGUUCAUAGCUCCCAGGGAAUACUGCAACGAGCUGGAGCUCUCCAACAACAACACAGAGUUUCUUCUCAACUUCAUCGCCCUCAUGGAGAAGGUGACUCCCGACUCCAAACAAUGUGACAGCCUGCUCCUUCACAACCUCAUCCUGGACACUGGCAUCAUCAGACAGCUGGUGGAGAAGGUGUGGAAGACCAAAGACCUUGCAUCAUAUGGCUUUUUGGCAGUGUUUGCUGCAACAGACGGAGGAAUUACCAGAGUUUAUCCCAACAAGGCUGCUGAGACCUGGGAGGAGGACCCCGAGCCGUUUAACGCCAGUUAUUACCGGCGUAGUCUGGACAACAAAGGCUACAUCUUCAGAGCACCUUAUCAGAACGACACCAUUGGGAUCCUGGUCAGCACUGCAGUGGAGAUCACGGUUGGAGGGAAAACCCUGAAACCUGCUGGUGAGCUGUCCUCCACACAUCACCCACUCUGGGAGCGAAGCUGUGAGAUGGACUGCGACUACAACUCUGAAGAUCUUCUCUGUUACCUAUUGGAUGAUGGAGGUUUUCUGAUUAUGUCCAAUCAGAAGGAGCACUCGAACAAGGUUGGCAUGUUCAUCACUGAAGCGGAUCAGUACCUUAUGCAUGCUCUCUACAACAACUCCCUUUACAACCGAAAGCAGUCCCUUGACUACCAGUCUGUUUGUGAACCUGUGCCAACCAGCAACACCGGGGCUGCACCAAGAGGAGUGUUUGUGCCGACCAUUGCAGACUUUGUGAACCUGGCCUGGUGGACAUCAGCCGCCGUGGAGGCUGAGGGGACGGACUCCAAGGAGACCAGCUGUGUGACGAUACAGACACAGUUUUACUUCACUAACGUCAGCAGCUCCUACGGCAUCAUGCAGGACUGUGGAAACUGCUCCAGGCUGAUCCAUGCCAGGAAGUUAAACAACACAAACCUACUGUUUGUGGUGGCAGAGAAGUUGCCCUGCAAUGCCUGUGAGGCGGAGAAAUUGUCCCAGGUGGAGACUGAAUUCAAGGACCUGAACCCUUCGUGUGACGACAUGAGCGCGGCGCGGUAUCGAAAAGGGCCCACCGUGUGCUACGACUACAACAUCACUGAGAAUACAUCGGACUGUGGGCAGGGCUACUCUUUCCGGCCAUCCGUCCAUACCCUGCUCACGAUCCAGCUCAUCCUCCUCUACCCAAUCUGCCCUGUCCCUGCUCUAGUCAUAGGUAAUUGA
This is a long non-coding RNA of Esox lucius (northern pike), 2781 nucleotides long. NCBI's taxonomy places the organism in Eukaryota, Metazoa, Chordata, Actinopteri, Esociformes, Esocidae. The record is from Ensembl.